GACGAACGCUGGCGGCGUGCUUAACACAUGCCAGUCGAACGGUGAAGCGCCUUCCUUUUUGGUGGGUGUGGAUGAGUGGCGAACGGGUGAGUAACACGUGAGUAACCUGCCCCCUUCUUCUGGAUAACCGCAUGAAAGUGUGGCUAAUACGGGAUAUUCUGGGUCUGUCGCAUGAUGGGUCUGGGAAAGAUAUUGUUUCGGUGGGGGAUGGGCUCGCGGCCUAUCAGCUUGUUGGUGGGGUGAUGGCCUACCAAGGCGGUGACGGGUAGCCGGCCUGAGAGGGUGGACGGUCACACUGGGACUGAGACACGGACCAGACUCCUACGGGAGGCAGCAGUGGGGAAUAUUGCACAAUGGGCGCAAGCCUGUUGCAGCGACGCCGCGUGAGGGAUGGAGGCCUUCGGGUUGUGAACCUCUUUCGCCAGUGAAGCAGGCCUGCCUCGUUUGUGGGUGGGUUGACGGUAGCUGGAUAAGAAGCGCCGGCUAACUACGUG
RNAcentral lists this ribosomal RNA (494 nucleotides) under uncultured bacterium. Its description in RNAcentral is "partial 16S ribosomal RNA". It matches the Rfam family "Bacterial small subunit ribosomal RNA", at positions 28 to 507 of the family's 1533-position model. The record is from RNAcentral.